GGGACGGGUUUGGCAGGACGUUA
RNAcentral lists this non-coding RNA (23 nucleotides) under Arabidopsis thaliana (thale cress). The record is from RNAcentral. Lineage: Eukaryota; Viridiplantae; Streptophyta; Magnoliopsida; Brassicales; Brassicaceae.